AACGCUAGCUACAGGCUUAACACAUGCAAGUCGAGGGGCAUCAGGAAGAAAGCUUGCUUUCUUUGCUGGCGACCGGCGCACGGGUGAGUAACACGUAUCCAACCUGCCCUUUACUCGGGGAUAGCCUUUCGAAAGAAAGAUUAAUACCCGAUGGCAUAAUGAUUCCGCAUGGUUUCAUUAUUAAAGGAUUCCGGUAAAGGAUGGGGAUGCGUUCCAUUAGGUUGUUGGUGAGGUAACGGCUCACCAAGCCUUCGAUGGAUAGGGGUUCUGAGAGGAAGGUCCCCCACAUUGGAACUGAGACACGGUCCAAACUCCUACGGGAGGCAGCAGUGAGGAAUAUUGGUCAAUGGGCGCUAGCCUGAACCAGCCAAGUAGCGUGAAGGAUGAAGGCUCUAUGGGUCGUAAACUUCUUUUAUAUAAGAAUAAAGUGCAGUAUGUAUACUGUUUUGUAUGUAUUAUAUGAAUAAGGAUCGGCUAACUCCGUGCCAGCAGCCGCGGUAAUACGGAGGAUCCGAGCGUUAUCCGGAUUUAUUGGGUUUAAAGGGAGCGUAGGUGGACUGGUAAGUCAGUUGUGAAAGUUUGCGGCUCAACCGUAAAAUUGCAGUUGAUACUGUCAGUCUUGAGUACAGUAGAGGUGGGCGGAAUUCGUGGUGUAGCGGCGAAAUGCUUAGAUAUCACGAAGAAUUCCGAUUGCGAAGGCAGCUCACUGGACUGCAACUGACACUGAUGCUCGAAAGUGUGGGUAUCAAACAGGAUUAGAUACCCUGGUAGUCCACACAGUAAACGAUGAAUACUCGCUGUUUGCGAUAUACAGUAAGCGGCCAAGCGAAAGCAUUAAGUAUUCCACCUGGGGAGUACGCCGGCAACGGUGAAACUCAAAGGAAUUGACGGGGGCCCGCACAAGCAGAGGAACAUGUGGUUUAAUUCGAUGAUACGCGAGGAACCUUACCCGGGCUUAAAUUGCAGUGGAAUGAUGUGGAAACAUGUCAGUGAGCAAUCACCGCUGUGAAGGUGCUGCAUGGUUGUCGUCAGCUCGUGCCGUGAGGUGUCGGCUUAAGUGCCAUAACGAGCGCAACCCUUAUCUUUAGUUACUAACAGGUUAUGCUGAGGACUCUAGAGAGACUGCCGUCGUAAGAUGUGAGGAAGGUGGGGAUGACGUCAAAUCAGCACGGCCCUUACGUCCGGGGCUACACACGUGUUACAAUGGGGGGUACAGAAGGCAGCUAGCGGGUGACCGUAUGCUAAUCCCAAAAGCCUCUCUCAGUUCGGAUCGAAGUCUGCAACCCGACUUCGUGAAGCUGGAUUCGCUAGUAAUCGCGCAUCAGCCACGGCGCGGUGAAUACGUUCCCGGGCCUUGUACACACCGCCCGUCAAGCCAUGGGAGCCGGGGGUACCUGAAGUACGUAACCGCAAGGAUCGUCCUAGGGUAAAACUGGUGACUG
RNAcentral lists this ribosomal RNA (1442 nucleotides) under uncultured organism. Its description in RNAcentral is "SSU rRNA". It matches the Rfam family "Bacterial small subunit ribosomal RNA". The record is from RNAcentral.